GGCGGCGUAGCUCAGGCGGUCAGAGCACACGACUCAUAAUCGUGGUGUCGUGGGUUCGAGUCCCACCGCCGCCACCA
RNAcentral lists this transfer RNA (77 nucleotides) under Thermus sp. Its description in RNAcentral is "tRNA-Met". It matches the Rfam family "tRNA". Rfam says of the family: Transfer RNA (tRNA) molecules are approximately 80 nucleotides in length. Their secondary structure includes four short double-helical elements and three loops (D, anti-codon, and T loops). RNAcentral also lists the same sequence under 7 other names. The record is from RNAcentral. Lineage: Bacteria; Thermotogati; Deinococcota; Deinococci; Thermales; Thermaceae.